ACUAUUUUGUCAGAUAAUAUGUGCUAGAUUUAGGAUCUAGUUAAAUAGAAUAAGUUCUAUAAGUAGUA
RNAcentral lists this transfer RNA (68 nucleotides) under Scylla tranquebarica (purple mud crab). RNAcentral's name for it is "tRNA-Leu". Lineage: Eukaryota; Metazoa; Arthropoda; Malacostraca; Decapoda; Portunidae. The record is from RNAcentral.